UCUCCUGGAAACGGGUGGUAAUGCCGGAUGCUCCAUCACACUGCAUGGUGUGUUGGGAAAGCCUUUGCGGCAUGGGAUGGGGUCGCGUCCUAUCAGCUUGAUGGCGGGGUAACGGCCCACCAUGGCUUCGACGGGUAGCCGGCCUGAGAGGGCGACCGGCCACAUUGGGACUGAGAUACGGCCCAGACUCCUACGGGAGGCAGCAGUGGGGAAUAUUGCACAAUGGGCGCAAGCCUGAUGCAGCGACGCCGCGUGAGGGAUGGAGGCCUUCGGGUUGUAAACCUCUUUUGUUAGGGAGCAAGGCAUUUUGUGUUGAGUGUACCUUUCGAAUAAGCACCGGCUAACUACGUGCCAGCAGCCGCGGUAAUACGUAGGGUGCAAGCGUUAUCCGGAAUUAUUGGGCGUAAAGGGCUCGUAGGCGGUUCGUCGCGUCCGGUGUGAAAGUCCAUCGCUUAACGGUGGAUCCGCGCCGGGUACGGGCGGGCUUGAGUGCGGUAGGGGAGACUGGAAUUCCCGGUGUAACGGUGGAAUGUGUAGAUA
RNAcentral lists this ribosomal RNA (540 nucleotides) under Bifidobacterium breve. RNAcentral's name for it is "bacterial SSU rRNA". It matches the Rfam family "Bacterial small subunit ribosomal RNA", at positions 146 to 696 of the family's 1533-position model. The record is from RNAcentral. Lineage: Bacteria; Bacillati; Actinomycetota; Actinomycetes; Bifidobacteriales; Bifidobacteriaceae.